GACGAACGCUGGCGGCGUGCUUAACACAUGCAAGUCGAGCGGUAAGGCCCUUUCGGGGGUACACGAGCGGCGAACGGGUGAGUAACACGUGGGUGACCUGCCCUUAGCUCUGGGAUGAGCCUGGGAAACUGGGUCUAAUACCGGAUAUGACUCCAUGACGCAUGUUGUGGGGUGGAAAGCCUUGUGCGGCUAGGGGAUGGGCCCGCGGCCUAUCAGCUUGUUGGUGGGGUGANGGCCUACCAAGGCGACGACGGGUAGCCGGCCUGAGAGGGCGACCGGCCACACUGGGACUGAGACACGGCCCAGACUCCUACGGGAGGCAGCAGUGGGGAAUCUUGCGCAAUGGGCGAAAGCCUGACGCAGCGACGCCGCGUGGGGAUGACGGCCU
RNAcentral lists this ribosomal RNA (388 nucleotides) under uncultured bacterium. Its description in RNAcentral is "bacterial SSU rRNA". It matches the Rfam family "Bacterial small subunit ribosomal RNA", at positions 28 to 417 of the family's 1533-position model. The record is from RNAcentral.